RNAcentral lists this ribosomal RNA (501 nucleotides) under uncultured bacterium. RNAcentral's name for it is "partial 16S ribosomal RNA". It matches the Rfam family "Bacterial small subunit ribosomal RNA", at positions 28 to 506 of the family's 1533-position model. The record is from RNAcentral.
GACGAACGCUGGCGGCGUGCCUAAUACAUGCAAGUCGAACGAACCGCGACUAAGUGCUUGCACUAAGUCAAGGUGAGUGGCGAACGGGUGAGUAACACGUGGGUAACCUACCUCAUAGUGGGGGAUAACAGUCGGAAACGACUGCUAAUACCGCAUAGGACAUAGGAUCACAUGAUCCAGUGAGGAAAGGUGGCGCAAGCUAUCGCUAAGAGAUGGACCCGCGGUGCAUUAGCUAGUUGGUAGGGUAAAGGCCUACCAAGGCGAUGAUGCAUAGCCGACCUGGGGGGGUGGUCGGCCAAAUUGGAACUGAAACACGGCCCAAACUCCUAGGGGGGGCAGCAGGAGGAAAUCUUCCGAAAGGGACGAAAGUUGGACGGAGCAACGCCGGGGGAGGGAAGAAGGUCUUCGGAUCGUAAAGCGUUGUUUUUAGGAAAAAACAGCGCAUAGGGUAACUGCUAUGGGGGGGGCGGUAUCAAACCAGAAAGCCACGGCAAACUACGU